GGAUGUGAGGGCGAUCUGGCUGCGACAUCUGUCACCCCAUUGAUGGCCAGGGUUGAUUCGGCUGAUCUGGCUGGCUAGGUGGGUGUCCCCUUCUCCCACACCGCUCCAUGUGUGUCCCUCCCGAAGCUGUGAAAAGGUGGAAAAGGACAACGUCCCAGGUAUAGAAGGAGUGCACGGAGGUCUCCAGUCUUCGGUCCCGGGUAUACGAUAGCUGCGCUCCCCUGCUAGAACCUCCAAACAAGCUCAGUGAGAAACCUCCAAUAGAUGAAAGAAGAAGCAAUUCAUUGAUCUUUCAAUGCAGACUAUCACUUCCAGUGGAACAUGUGAAUUCU
Molecule: non-coding RNA, 332 nt
Organism: Anolis carolinensis (green anole)
Lineage: Eukaryota; Metazoa; Chordata; Lepidosauria; Squamata; Anolidae
Source: Rfam